GAAUCACCACAUAGGGUUCCAAUAAAAUCCUAGAAUAAAAACUUAGCUACUCAUGUUCGUAACGAAAAACAUAAUAAAAAUACGAAAAAUCAUAAAAGCGAUAAAUAACAAUAAAGGAGGGGAACUAUGAUGAAGAUUCGUCAAGUCUUCGUCUUCGUUCUUGUGCUCCUUGAUUGCGUGUAGAAAGAUGAAAAACUAAAAACCUAAAAUAAAGAUAAAAAGUAAAAGACAAAAGAUAGGUCUAAUUGUGUGCUUGUGGCCUUUAAAUAGGGUGCAAAACUAUAAUAGGGCGGGUUUCCUUGUGUAAUUAAAAUUCCUUCACUGCGCCAUCACGCCCAUCCGGACGGCCGUGUGAGAUUUUGAACUAAAAUCCGCACGGCCGUGCGGUCUUUGAUUCUCCAGAUUUCUGAUUUUUUCACUUUUGGCCCACUUUUUCUCUGAAUUUGCAGUUUUCACCCCAAAAGUUGCCAAUUCUUCAAUUUGCACCUAAAAU
RNAcentral lists this long non-coding RNA (493 nucleotides) under Erythranthe guttata (spotted monkey flower). RNAcentral describes it as "long non-coding RNA (EGUT_LNC002083)". Lineage: Eukaryota; Viridiplantae; Streptophyta; Magnoliopsida; Lamiales; Phrymaceae. The record is from RNAcentral.